CUACGGGUCGCAGCAGUGGGGAAUAUUGCACAAUGGAGGAAACUCUGAUGCAGCAACGCCGCGUGGAGGAUGACACUUUUCGGAGCGUAAACUCCUUUUAUAUAGGAAGAAGAUGACGGUACUAUAUGAAUAAGCGCCGGCUAACUCCGUGCCAGCAGCCGCGGUAAUACGGAGGGCGCAAGCGUUACUCGGAAUCACUGGGCGUAAAGAGCGUGUAGGCGGAUUAAAAAGUCAGAAGUGAAAUCCUAUAGCUUAACUAUAGAACUGCUUCUGAAACUCUUAAUCUAGAAUAUGGGAGGGUAGAUGUAAUUUCUGGUGUAGGGGUAAAAUCCGUAGAGAUCAGAAGGAAUACCGAUUGCGAAGGCGAUCUACUAGAACAUUAUUGACGCUGAGACGCGAAAGCGUGGGGAGCAAACAGGAUUAGAUACCCUCGUAGUC
Molecule: ribosomal RNA, 438 nt
Filed under: uncultured bacterium
Lineage: Bacteria
Description: partial 16S ribosomal RNA
Rfam family: Bacterial small subunit ribosomal RNA
Source: RNAcentral